This 432-nucleotide unclassified non-coding RNA is filed under the name soil metagenome. Its description in RNAcentral is "partial contains 5.8S ribosomal RNA, internal transcribed spacer 2, and large subunit ribosomal RNA". The stretch from base 1 to 120 matches the Rfam family "5.8S ribosomal RNA", at positions 35 to 154 of the family's 154-position model. The record is from RNAcentral.
GAUGAAGAACGUAGCGAAAUGCGAUACGUAAUGUGAAUUGCAGAAUUCAGUGAAUCAUCGAAUCUUUGAACGCAUAUUGCGCUCUCUGGUAUUCCGGAGAGCAUGCUUGUUUGAGUAUCAGUAAACACCUCAACUUCCAUAUCUUUUUUGAAAUGGGAGUUGGACUUGAGUGAUCCCACCGCUUUUCCUCACCGAAAAGUGGCGGGUUACUUGAAAUGCAGGUGCAGCUGGACUUUUCUCUGAGCUAUAAGCAUAUCUAUUUAGUCUGCCUAAAAAACAGAUUAUUACCUUUGCUGCAGCUAACAUAAAGGAGAUUAGUUCUUGUGCUGACUGAUGCAGGAUUCACAAAGACGGCUUCGGCCGACUUUGUAAACUCGAUCUCAAAUCAAGUAAGACUACCCGCUGAACUUAAGCAUAUCAAUAAGCGGAGGA